This 414-nucleotide ribosomal RNA is filed under the name uncultured bacterium. RNAcentral describes it as "bacterial SSU rRNA". It matches the Rfam family "Bacterial small subunit ribosomal RNA", at positions 8 to 421 of the family's 1533-position model. The record is from RNAcentral.
AGAGUUUGAUCAUGGCUCAGGAUGAACGCUAGCGGCAGGCUUAAUACAUGCAAGUCGAGGGGUAACAGGGUUUUAGGACUGCUGACGACCGGCGCACGGGUGCGUAACACGUAUGCAACCUACCUUUAACAGGAGGAUAGCCCCGAGAAAUCGGAAUUAAUACUCUAUAAGAUUAUAGAUUGGCAUCGAUUUAUGAUUAAAGUUCAGGCGGUUAAAGAUGGGCAUGCGCGACAUUAGUUAGUUGGUAAGGUAACGGCUUACCAAGACGAAGAUGUCUAGGGGUUCUGAGAGGAAGAUCCCCCACACUGGUACUGAGACACGGACCAGACUCCUACGGGAGGCAGCAGUAAGGAAUAUUGGGCAAUGGACGCAAGUCUGACCCAGCCAUGCCGCGUGCAGGAAGACAGCCUUAUG